Molecule: ribosomal RNA, 250 nt
Filed under: uncultured Gemella sp.
Lineage: Bacteria; Bacillati; Bacillota; Bacilli; Caryophanales; Gemellaceae
Description: partial 16S ribosomal RNA
Rfam family: Bacterial small subunit ribosomal RNA
Source: RNAcentral
CAACGUAAAGAACCUACCUUAUAGACAGGGACAACUAUUGGAAACGAUAGCUAAUACCUGAUAAGAAAGAAACUCGCAUGAGAGAAGUUCGAAAGUCGGAGCAAUCUGACACUAUAAGAUGGCUUUGCGGUGCAUUAGCUAGUUGGUAGGGUAAAAGCCUACCAAGGCGACGAUGCAUAGCCGACCUGAGAGGGUGAUCGGCCACAUUGGGACUGAGACACGGCCCAGACUCCUACGGGAGGCAGCAGCA